CAGAGCGCCAGCCUAGCUCGGGCCCUGCUCCGGCUCUGCUCCCGCGCAGCUACAGCUCUGCUCCCAUCCAGCUCUCUUUCCCUAAUUGGCUUCGCCCUGGUGUGCUCACUUGGAAGCGCCCGAGCCUUGGAGGCGUCCACGGCUCUCGGGACGCGGCGUCGCCACUCCAACUAUUUUGAGCCUGUCCUGUCCGAAGCCUGUAAGUUUGAGGACUCCCUUCCGGGGUAUAAAGGGAGUCCUGAAGGAGAGCGAAGGUCCUUGAAAGGGAAGCGGGGACUGUGUCUGCCCCCAGGUCCUGCCCCUAUGCGCUGAGCUUCCACCAGCUGGAACCAGUGGGCACCCCAGUCCCUCCAGAAGACCUCCCUUGGUAGGUGGCAGACUGAGAAUUAAGUUUCUCUGAUCCCCCACUCCUGGCAGGAGAAAUCUCUUUCCUACGGCCAACGCAGGAAACUGUGAUCUCCUUCUUACAGCUGUCCCUCCCUACACGUUUGGAGCAAGAAUCACAGAAGCCGAGACCUUACCAGGGUUGAUUCUGACCCUACAGGAGAGGAGAAACUGAGAGCAAACAUGAAGAGCAAAGAAGGGAAAGUAGGGAGAAGUUCAUUCUGACUUGGAUGAGAAAGUAAUUACUGUCCUCACUGUAAGAGUGAAUUUUAAGGAAGUCUCUGGAGCUGGUGGCAGGAUCCAGGUCAUGGAAAGGAAUUGAAAUACUCCAGGCACUUCUUUUUAGAAAGCUUUUUUGGGUUUGUUUUUGGUUUUGCUUGGGGCCUACAUGAGAUGGGGAGCAUUGAUGAGAAGCAGCUAAGUGUACUGAAGGAUCUUUGACUCUUUCCUUCCUUGGUUUUUGGACCUGAUCAUGUUGACCUGGGAUCCACUGGCUUUAUUCAACCAGCUUUCUCUUUUUAGACUGGCAGUGAUACAGGCCAGAAACCUGCUCAUACCCGGUGGUAUGGCUGAGCUGCCCCUUGACCCUUCCGUCCAGACCUGGCAGGAUGCACAGUUAAAAAAAAUUGACCACUUCUUCCUUGGGGACACAGAUGCAGACCUUCUUAGAAUACACUCACCACCUUAACCACUGUGCAAGCAAAGCAGGAUAUUGGUUUCUUCAACCCCGAUGUGUUUUGCCAAAUCAGAGUGUUAAUACCCCUUCCUCCCGCACUCUGUAUGAAUUGGAUUACUUAAAGCAUCUUUUCAGAGACGUCAGCAGUUUAAUAGAAGCAAUAAGUCAGGGCUGCCCUUGUGUUUUAUUUUUCUGCCAGUAUUUAGUUAAUUAAAGAAUGCAAAUUAAAACACCUUAAUUUAUAUAAUAUCAAUACCAACGCCUUAAAACAUUUGGCAUAACUGCUCUGGCACGUCCCUUACAUAAACUCUUCAGAGCAGUGCUAAUAAAGAUGAAAAAAGGUUGUAAAUCAAAUUUAAUUUAUUCAUCUUCUGUUUGGUACUAAAGCAUAUGCCAAACUCGUUAUUUAUGAGCACGUCAUAAUAAUAGGCAUUUUUGUUGGUUGCAAAUGACCAAAAAGGUUUCUCCUAGGGAUGUGUGUUUUAAUUGUCUCUAGGUGCAGCUGUUUUCUGGGCUCUGAUCUCUAAGAUUUAUGAUCUUACACCCCUAUCUUCAGAAAACUAAAAUAGAUUUAGAUAUUGAAAAGCAUAACGAGCCUAAAAACAUGGCAACAUCCGCUCACAAAGACACCUGCCACCGACCGUAUGUAGAUAGACGUAUGCGCCAUCCGCCAUCAUCCGCCCUAUGGAGGACGGAUCUUCAGGUGAGAUAAAAGGUUGGUGAUUUAUAUCCGAUUUCUUAAAUAUUCCAUUAAGAGGAUUAUCUCCCAGGAGGCUCAGAUAUAGACAGCGUCAGAAGGGAUUUGGUACGCAGCUGCUUUCUGGGAAGCCUUGGAGAUGAACUACACAUACGUGAAUGGAUCGCUGAACAACCAUUUUCGUCUUUCCCCGCCUUUGUUGAUAUAUUCCUUCUUUAUCUGGUGGAUCUGAGCAUAGAAUACAUUUUAUUCAGUCUUGGAGGAAGAACAGUAGGCUCCAUUCAGGGGUACUGAAGGAUGGCAUGUUCUCCCUGCUUCCUGUGGCAAAGCUCCCCAUGCCCCGUGCAGGCAUCCUUCUCAAACUCCCUUGCUCACCCAGCUUUUGAUGUGGGAGAGUUGAGAGAAAUUUUGGAAAAGCCCUCUCCACCCGGAUCCCAUCCUUUAAAAUCCAAGCAAAUUCACAAAUAUGACUCUCUAGCCGGCCCCUGGCCUCCCGACUUGGGAAGCAAAACCUCAGCAUGAUACUAUGCCCUAUUGUAUCCAUUAUCUUUUAACGGGAGUAUUAUGAGCUGGACAGAAGAGGUAGAAUACUGGGGUUCCUCGUGGGGAAAUGGUGGGCACAAGUGGCAAGUGGCAUCUUUCUGGGACCUUGACAGCUGUGGAUCCCCAGCUGCCAUGAAGUUUGUGGGGAGACUGCAAAACCCCAAACAAAAUAUAUCUUGGUGAUUCCCUUUCUGAUGUUGAAAACAGCAAUAAACCCUUUACAUUGCUUUGGUUUGUACCUCAUGGGAUGCUCUCUCUUGCCUCAGACUCAGUGCAAUAGUGAGCUGGAAACUUACACUCUUUUACCACCCCCCCGCCCUUUUUGGGGGAGGUGGGUGGAACCAAGGAGAGCCAGAGAAUGUCCUAGAAAAGUUCACUGCCUCCAGCCCCCGGAGGUUCCCAAGGUCCUCUACCUUUCCACUGUGUAGUGUCUCGUUGGGUUACGGGGGAAAAAACCAGUCUGGUGUGACGGCUACCCCAGGCGUAGGGGCCUGCUGAGCUCUGACCUGCACUGGGACACCUAGCAUCAGAUUCUCUCUGGGGUAACCCUGGAGGGAGCGCUGUGGGCAGUCCCUCAGGGUGUCCACAUAUACAUUCCCAGGUGCGAUAGUGGCCAUAUGCCCUCUCACUUUUUCUUGCUGCAUGUCAUCUUUAAAAGCUGAUCUUGACCUUUAUAUUUAUUUAUACCCCCCCUGCCGCCAUAAAAGAUAUGAGGUCGCUUACAAUUCAAAUCGUAGAUACAGUAGAACCUGAAGCCAUUAACAGAAAAGUAACAAGAUCAGAGCCAAGUACAAAGGAGGAGGGGAGGAAGAAGCAGAGUUAUUAUACCAGAGGGGGAAGAAAUUUAGAUUAAGGAAAGCUAAUGCAAUUGAGAACAAAACCCAGCUCCUAACUCCCGGGGAGGGAGCGUGGUGGGCGACCGCCAGCUAUUGUAAUAACUGUAGAUUACUGCACCUCAAAGGCAGGUUUUAAAUGCCUGCCAUGCCUGCGGAGGGUUCAUUGCCCUGAGAGCUCAGUCAAGCUCCUUUAGCAAUCCGAAUCUCUGUUUCCUCGUCUGUAAAAAAGCGAGGACUAACUCACUCAUCAUGGGGCUUUUGUGAGAAUACAUUUCAACAAGAGCAGUAGCUUUCACUUAGAUAGCUACUCUUCUAAGUGUUUUUAUUUUCAUUUAAUUUUCUUUAUUUGAGAGAAAGAGAGAGAGAGAGAG
Lutra lutra (Eurasian river otter) is the source of this 3507-nucleotide long non-coding RNA. RefSeq lists it as uncharacterized. NCBI's taxonomy places the organism in Eukaryota, Metazoa, Chordata, Mammalia, Carnivora, Mustelidae. The transcript has 3 exons. The record is from RefSeq and is a predicted model, not a curated record.